This 253-nucleotide ribosomal RNA is filed under the name uncultured bacterium. Its description in RNAcentral is "partial 16S ribosomal RNA". It matches the Rfam family "Bacterial small subunit ribosomal RNA", at positions 524 to 776 of the family's 1533-position model. The record is from RNAcentral.
UACGUAGGGUGCGAGCGUUGUCCGGAAUUAUUGGGCGUAAAGGGCUCGUAGGCGGUCUGUCGCGUCGGGCGUGAAAACUCAGGGCUUAACCCUGAGCCUGCUUCCGAUACGGGCAGACUAGAGGUAUGCAGGGGAGAACGGAAUUCCUGGUGUAGCGGUGGAAUGCGCAGAUAUCAGGAGGAACACCGGUGGCGAAGGCGGUUCUCUGGGCAUUACCUGACGCUGAGGAGCGAAAGUGUGGGGAGCGAACAGG